UAAGUCCUCCAGAUGAGUUAAACCUGAAAGAAAAGAAAGUGAUUACAAGUCAGUCUUUAAAUUAAGUGAUCCCACCAAGAAACAAACAUGUAUAGAAUAACCUAAAACCUGAUCAGUAGAAAAACUGCCUCGUUGUUAAGAAGGAUACAGAUGACAUACUACGAGAACACAUUAAAAUUGAAUUCAUUUUAAUGUAAAUUAGCAAUUCCAAACAACACAAAGAAAAUCAUAAGAGAAGUAAUGGAAAGCUUGCACGAUAAGAAGCCAAUCUCAUGGUUUAGGUGGCUUUGCUUGUGUAAUAUUUCAAUAAGAUUUUUUUGCAUAUUAAAAAAGAAAAGGAAAAAUGGAAAA
This 351-nucleotide unclassified non-coding RNA is filed under the name Hevea brasiliensis (rubber tree). The record is from RNAcentral. Lineage: Eukaryota; Viridiplantae; Streptophyta; Magnoliopsida; Malpighiales; Euphorbiaceae.